GGAGACGUGGGUGAGUGGCUGAAACCAACGGUUUGCUAAACCGUCGUAGCGGGUAACCGCUACCGCGAGUUCGAAUCUCGCCGUCUCCGCCA
RNAcentral lists this transfer RNA (92 nucleotides) under Sphingomonas sp. RNAcentral describes it as "tRNA-Ser". It matches the Rfam family "tRNA". Rfam says of the family: Transfer RNA (tRNA) molecules are approximately 80 nucleotides in length. Their secondary structure includes four short double-helical elements and three loops (D, anti-codon, and T loops). Lineage: Bacteria; Pseudomonadati; Pseudomonadota; Alphaproteobacteria; Sphingomonadales; Sphingomonadaceae. RNAcentral also lists the same sequence under 1 other name. The record is from RNAcentral.